CAGAUCCGGAACACCAAUGCAUCGUCUUAACAACAUUUAAGGCUCUCUCCAAGCCGGCUUGCCGCGAGUUAUCGCCUGACCGGUCGUCCCCAGUCCUCCCCCUCGUCCAGUCGUCCCCAGCCGCUCUCUCGCGGCUGUGGAGCGCCUCCGAUUGAUCUUCCCCGAUGGCGCCAAGACGUCGCCGCCCCGUCCUCCCUCCUGACUACAGACGGCAUCCUCCUCACGUAGGUGCAAAAGCAUAUUGACCGUCCCGCAUUCCAAUAAAAUGGAGGCUAGAAUCCAAUUAGGCGUUAAAGUCAAAUAAAAAAUGUUUAUUUUGCGCGGGCCGCGGCGCGAGGGGUGCGAGCGUGCUUCCUGCCCGCCCGCGCGCCGCGGAAAAAUGCGGCCGUGCCGGCUUGGCGUGCAGGGACGUCUUUUUGUGACAGGGGUCGGAGAGUGGGUUCCACACGUGUGGCGCGGCGCGGUGGCGUGAACUCACGGCACCGGCAUUCCGGCGGCGAUUGCGGCGCGGCUGCCCGAGCGGCGACAAUUGGUGGCGCGACUCGGACCGAAUGCGCGCGCCGCCGUGUGCGAACGGACGUGCGCCGGGGAGCUGCAAACGUUAAAGGGGGAGGGGGCAGCAGUUCGGGGCGACCCACCCCGCGGUGUCCCGGUGAGGAGGGUGCCCCACACAGACGGACGCUGCGGGCACAGCAGUCGUGUUGAGGUUGGAGGUGACGCUGUGACCGUUGCUUGGAAGCAUUCCCCCGAGAGCCUGAGCUGCUGGCUGUGGCGUCACGUAUGUGUGAUGCCGCGUGCAGCUUAUGUCGACGGGCGACCAAACAGCGUUCAAUGCGUUAGAAUCGGACUCAACGCAAGACACAGCCGUGACCUGUCGAUACGGCCUCUCACUGAACGCAGGCCCAUCGCGCCAGAGGCUCAGCCGAUUUGGGAUCGCCACUGCGAUCUUUCCACACCUAGUGAAGCCGAGGUUCUCCAAACUGUCAGAAUCAUCAUCUCAAAAGAUAAGUUCGCAACAUCGCGCUUUCGUCACCCAAGAAGCGAGAAAAGCGUUAUACAUCCAGUCAGCUGGCAUCACUCGCCUCGUGUGAUAGCACGUGACUUGCUUCUGGCUGAAGUGAACAGAUGAAGGGUCGCGAGGAAACCAUCCAGCUGCACAUUCGUUACGGAGUCGAAGCCUGCUAAGCUGUAUGCCAGUUCUGAGAAUGCAUUCUGUCUAAAUUAAUAUGGGGUAAUAUGUGUUCCCUUCUCAGCUCGAGGUGCCUGGUGCGGUGAUGAUAUUGUUUAUGAUAAUCACACAAUGAUGGAGCUUAGAAGUUUAGAACAUAAUGGCAGAAAACUUGAGUACUUGUUCCAUUGUGCGUUCCAUCAUAUGUUCAUAAAAUAUUAGCUGCUUCCUUCGAUGUUACUGGGUUUCUUGAGCUCGAUGUACGUUAGUAGGUGUGAUCUGUGCGAAAUAACCAUUUAUUGUUGCGCAUAUACAGAGCUGACGUUAACCAGCCCGUCUAAAAUUAACAAACAUUCAUUUUUGAUUGUAUGCAGACAAGGCGAAACAUGAGCAUAAUAUAUAAAAAACUGAUGCA
Molecule: long non-coding RNA, 1583 nt
Filed under: Pollicipes pollicipes
Lineage: Eukaryota; Metazoa; Arthropoda; Thecostraca; Pollicipedomorpha; Pollicipedidae
Description: uncharacterized LOC119092131
Source: RNAcentral